AGUGGGGAAUUUUGGACAAUGGGGGCAACCCUGAUCCAGCCAUGCCGCGUGAGUGAAGAAGGCCUUCGGGUUGUAAAGCUCUUUCGGCUGGGAAGAAAUCGCAUCUCCUAAUACGGGGUGUGGAUGACGGUACCAGCAUAAGAAGCACCGGCUAACUACGUGCCAGCAGCCGCGGUAAUACGUAGGGUGCGAGCGUUAAUCGGAAUUACUGGGCGUAAAGCGUGCGCAGGCGGUUUCGUAAGACAGAUGUGAAAUCCCCGGGCUCAACCUGGGAACUGCAUUUGUGACUGCGAGGCUAGAGUAUGGCAGAGGGGGGUGGAAUUCCACGUGUAGCAGUGAAAUGCGUAGAGAUGUGGAGGAACACCGAUGGCGAAGGCAGCCCCCUGGGUCAAUACUGACGCUCAUGCACGAAAGCGUGGGGAGCAAA
Molecule: ribosomal RNA, 427 nt
Filed under: uncultured Azospira sp.
Lineage: Bacteria; Pseudomonadati; Pseudomonadota; Betaproteobacteria; Rhodocyclales; Rhodocyclaceae
Description: bacterial SSU rRNA
Rfam family: Bacterial small subunit ribosomal RNA
Source: RNAcentral